Molecule: ribosomal RNA, 378 nt
Filed under: uncultured bacterium
Lineage: Bacteria
Description: bacterial SSU rRNA
Rfam family: Bacterial small subunit ribosomal RNA
Source: RNAcentral
AUUGAACGCUGGCGGCAUGCCUUACACAUGCAAGUCGAACGGCAGCACGGGAGCAAUCCUGGUGGCGAGUGGCGAACGGGUGAGUAAUAUAUCGGAACGUGCCCAGUCGUGGGGAUAACGUAGCGAAAGCUACGCUAAUACCGCAUACGAUCUAUGGAUGAAAGCGGGGGAUCGCAAGACCUCGCGCGAUUGGAGCGGCCGAUAUCAGAUUAGGUAGUUGGUGAGGUAAAGGCUCACCAAGCCGACGAUCUGUAGCUGGUCUGAGAGGACGACCAGCCACACUGGGACUGAGACACGGCCCAGACUCCUACGGAGCGAGCAGUGGGAAUUUUGGACAAUGGCGCAAGCCUGAUCCAGCAAUGCCGCGUGCAGGAUGAA